Molecule: long non-coding RNA, 1125 nt
Filed under: Gouania willdenowi (blunt-snouted clingfish)
Lineage: Eukaryota; Metazoa; Chordata; Actinopteri; Blenniiformes; Gobiesocidae
Description: lncRNA (ENSGWIG00000013818.1)
Source: RNAcentral
UGCCUUAUUAAACUUAACGCUGUCGCUAUCCUCACGAGAACUGCCACCUGAAAUGGCCUGGGUGGCAGCUCUCGUGAGAUUAGUGCUGACAGCGGCAACAAACCCGGGAUACAACUCAGAAGAGAGAUGAUGAAUGAAGACGUGCCGGUGAAAAAAACAAAGUACUAGUGUAAAUAUGUUGUGAAAUGUGAAAUAGAGUUUACCUUCUUAAAGAGCAGCAAGAUGGGACACAGUUACACAUUCUGUAAGAUUUGUAACUGAGAUUUUAGCGUCUACCACGGGGGAAGGAACCACGUAAGUCACUAUGAAAAAUCAGCCAAUCACACGCGCCACAAAUAUACACUGCUUUAAAAAAGUGUUAAAGGAUGUAAAGUCUGUAAUAAAUGUGUAUAAAAAGUCAUUAGUGAAUACCAGAUAACCACGAGUGAGUAUGAGAAAUUAUAAGAAAACAUGUAAUAAAAUAAAAUGUUAAUUUAUUAACAAAACUUGUCUAUCUUAAGGACAAGCAACGUGAAAUUGACAGUAAAUAUAUAAUUUGUUGACAUGUAUAUGAACUGUAAGUAUAUUAAAUAAACACGUGCUUCAUAUACACAUUUAUGUUUUCAUUUAGGCGGUUUUAUAAUUUAGGAAUUAGGGCUGGGCGAUAUUUCGAGAUUCAAGAUGUAUGCUGCUUUUACUUCUCAGAACAGCAUGUAAAGCUCAGUUAGAUGGAUUAUUGAAUGCACAUAUUGUGCAGCUGUUUGUUAAUAAAUGAGCCUCCAUCCAUCCAUUUUCUUCCGCAGAGGCAGCAGUCUCAGCAGAGAUGCCCAGACCUCCUGAUCCACGCACACCUCCUAUCAAGAUUUAUAUCGUAUAUCACCAUUUUGAGAUGAUAUGGAGUUUUGGUUCAUAUCACCCAGCCCUAGUAGGAAUGUUCACAGCAUUUCAAUGUUAAUAAAGCUGCACUUCAUGUGGUCGGAUUCAUUGUUACUGGGCAAAACCACCACAGAUCAACUUCAUCCUGCGUGGAGAGAACCCUUUUCAAUGCUUUAGCUGAACUUUAUUUGUUGUAUAAAGAAUCUUGGAUGCAAAGCAGAUCUUUGCUCCUGUUUGGACUCUAAAUAAAACAGGAUGAAGGCAGUGACA